Molecule: non-coding RNA, 753 nt
Organism: Vigna umbellata (rice bean)
Lineage: Eukaryota; Viridiplantae; Streptophyta; Magnoliopsida; Fabales; Fabaceae
Source: RefSeq, a predicted model, not a curated record
AGGUGGCAUAACGUGGAGGAGGACUGUUCUGUCGAGGGUGAAGGGCAACGUUUUGCAAUGUUUUCCGGCGUACGGUUGGCCGCAAAUGGGUUCCAUGAACUGCAAAUGGCCAUGUCCAGUCUAGGUCUGUUCAUGGCAUUACAACCCAAGAUCAUUGCCGGUGGAAAAUCUGUUGCAGCAUUUUCUACUACGUGCAAACACAAAGGAACCAUACCUUGGGGAAGGGCAGCCUGCAAUAUAUAGGCCAUAUCAUAAACAACUAAGAAUUAUAUACUUUGAGUGUAAUAGAUAGUUGAUUAAAGAAGGUUUCAUAACUGGACAAUUGCAACAUGCAAAAGAACUCCACAGAGUCCAAUGCCUAUGGAGGUUGCAGCAAUAACAGUUGGACCUGUCAAGAACCUAAUAGCCAUAGAAAAUGCUGUCAACACAAAGGAAUCAUAAACAAUAUAUAUAUAAAUUGUGCAGGGUUAUAUUUGGAAUGCUGAUUGCAUUGCCCAUAACCAUACUCUACUACGUGCUUCUUGGACUCUAAUCUAUCUUGCCAGGCAGAAGGAUAUGAUGCUGUAACUGUACGUACUACGUGAAGCCAAGGACACCACGCUCAAGCGGCUGGAUGAAGAAACGUAGAAGAUAUUUGAUUUUAGAUGUUAGAGAGGGAAAGAAAAAUUAUAUAUAGUAUAUAGUAGAAUGCUAUAUAUAUAUAUAUAUAUUAUUUAUGAUUGGUAUGAAAGUUUGGGUUUGAUUUCUUCCAAA